This 1375-nucleotide ribosomal RNA is filed under the name Weissella cibaria. RNAcentral's name for it is "partial 16S ribosomal RNA". It matches the Rfam family "Bacterial small subunit ribosomal RNA", at positions 59 to 1366 of the family's 1533-position model. The record is from RNAcentral. Lineage: Bacteria; Bacillati; Bacillota; Bacilli; Lactobacillales; Lactobacillaceae.
AACUAACUACGAAGUAAAUGAACGUUUGGGUCCAAAGUAUUUGAAAGACUUGUUUAAGAUUUGACGAUGGGCAAUUUCAAAAGAGUGGGGAACCGGUGGGGUAACCCGGUGGGAAACCUUCCUUUUUAGCCAGGGGAUAACCAUUUGGAAACCAGAUGGUUAAUCCCGUUUAACCAAUAGCAACCGCCAUGGUUGCUACUUAAAAGAUGGUUCUGCUAUCAAUUAAGAGAUGGUCCCGCGGUGCAUUAGUUAGUUGGUGAGGUAAUGGCUCACCAAGACGAUGAUGCAUAGCCGAGUUGAGAGACUGAUCGGCCACAAUGGGACUGAGACACGGCCCAUAUUCCUACGGGAGGCAGCAGUAGGGAAUCUUCCACAAUGGGCGAAAGCCUGAUGGAGCAACGCCGCGUGUGUGAUGAAGGGUUUCGGCUCGUAAAACACUGUUGUAAGAGAAGAAUGACAUUGAGAGUAACUGUUCAAUGUGUGACGGUAUCUUACCAGAAAGGAACGGCUAAAUACGUGCCAGCAGCCGCGGUAAUACGUAUGUUCCAAGCGUUAUCCGGAUUUAUUGGGCGUAAAGCGAGCGCAGACGGUUAUUUAAGUCUGAAGUGAAAGCCCUCAGCUCAACUGAGGAAUUGCUUUGGAAACUGGAUGACUUGAGUGCAGUAGAGGAAAGUGGAACUCCAUGUGUAGCGGUGAAAUGCGUAGAUAUAUGGAAGAACACCAGUGGCGAAGGCGGCUUUCUGGACUGUAACUGACGUUGAGGCUCGAAAGUGUGGGUAGCAAACAGGAUUAGAUACCCUGGUAGUCCACACCGUAAACGAUGAGUGCUAGGUGUUUGAGGGUUUCCGCCCUUAAGUGCCGCAGCUAACGCAUUAAGCACUCCGCCUGGGGAGUACGACCGCAAGGUUGAAACUCAAAGGAAUUGACGGGGACCCGCACAAGCGGUGGAGCAUGUGGUUUAAUUCGAAGCAACGCGAAGAACCUUACCAGGUCUUGACAUCCCUUGACAACUCCAGAGAUGGAGCGUUCCCUUCGGGGACAAGGUGACAGGUGGUGCAUGGUUGUCGUCAGCUCGUGUCGUGAGAUGUUGGGUUAAGUCCCGCAACGAGCGCAACCCUUAUUACUAGUUGCCAGCAUUCAGUUGGGCACUCUAGUGAGACUGCCGGUGACAAACCGGAGGAAGGUGGGGAUGACGUCAAAUCAUCAUGCCCCUUAUGACCUGGGCUACACACGUGCUACAAUGGCGUAUACAACGAGUUGCCAACCCGCGAGGGUGAGCUAAUCUCUUAAAGUACGUCUCAGUUCGGAUUGUAGGCUGCAACUCGCCUACAUGAAGUCGGAAUCGCUAGUAUCGCGAUCAGCACGCCCGAACGCC